CUCCACAGUCUUGUUUUGGUUGUGACAUUAUUUUUUUUAAUGAGUUACUAUCAAUACGCUACACGUGUACGUUUCAUGUGCUAGUAACUGUUUCACCAAUAUUCUGAUACAGGAUGGUAUAUCCGCCAUUACUAUUUUCACAUCGUUUAUUUAUUAGUCUGUCAUGGAGUUGUAGAGUGAAUUAGACAGUAGUGAUAACAUUAUAAUGUCCACACAUCAGUGUUGUAAACACUUCUCCAAUUAAUUAUAUAAUUAUGUUUUCACACUGAGGGAAGUGGAGAGACUUGAUGUGGACUGUUAUCAACAGCUCUGUGGGAGAUCAUCACCUUGAAUAUUACAGAUGAGAUGAAGAACUGCAGCACCUGAUGUCCUCAGCAGCAACAUGGUGGAGAUCUGAUUUGAUACACUUUAGAUAAGAACCCAGUGUUUUAUAUUUCUGCUUUGCCAUAAGAGACAGAACAUGGUCAUCACAGCUGUGUCCUUCAGGCUCGUCUGUCCCUAAUAAAAUGAUAGGAAACAUGAAA
Platichthys flesus (European flounder) is the source of this 524-nucleotide long non-coding RNA. RefSeq lists it as uncharacterized. The transcript has 2 exons. The record is from RefSeq and is a predicted model, not a curated record. Lineage: Eukaryota; Metazoa; Chordata; Actinopteri; Pleuronectiformes; Pleuronectidae.